RNAcentral lists this unclassified non-coding RNA (265 nucleotides) under Hevea brasiliensis (rubber tree). Lineage: Eukaryota; Viridiplantae; Streptophyta; Magnoliopsida; Malpighiales; Euphorbiaceae. The record is from RNAcentral.
UUGGUUGGAGUGGUUUGGUUAUUGAUUCGACCAUUCUAGUUUUUGGGGUCGUCGUUGCAGUUACCGGAACCUGGUCUUCUUUAUUGGAGAUAUUAGGGUCUAGUUCUUCCUAAGUGACAAGAUUUUAAUCUUCCUUGUCCUUUCUUGUUUUGCCAUCUUGAGAGCCUUAUUCGUUGUUGAAAAACAUGGAAAAUUCUUAGCUGAGGAUAGGAUGAAGUCCUUAGCUGUUAACUGGACUUCAUUUCUCCCAAUCCAGUUAUCCUUU